Ornithodoros turicata is the source of this 946-nucleotide long non-coding RNA. RefSeq lists it as uncharacterized. NCBI's taxonomy places the organism in Eukaryota, Metazoa, Arthropoda, Arachnida, Ixodida, Argasidae. The transcript is spliced from 4 exons. The record is from RefSeq and is a predicted model, not a curated record.
UGUGUUUCCUCCUACAUUUCACCUUCGCCGACCAUAUAAAAAUGUGAACGUCUUUGCAUUUGUGUAGUCGUAUGCUCCGUUAUGCAUUUUGUUCCUGAGCCCGUGCACAAGCUCCAUUACGACAAAGGGAGAUCACAUUCGUGCUCCUGUGGUUGCCUGUGCAACAGAAGACAGGCUGCGGGCGAGGCUGAAAGACUGGGCACGGGAGGAGCCUCACCUGCCUGUCCCUGACAUUUAUGAGCAGGAGCUCGUAUCCCUGGACAGAGCACAUACCCCAUCCAGAUAUCUACACGUGCCUGGAAGCGCUGCGCCAGAUCGAAUCGGCACGUGUGGGGCACCUCCAAGCAGCAAAUGGUGCCAUUCAGCGGCAACAGGCAUUCAGGCGGGGGAGACAACUAUGGACACAUUCCUCAGAAAAGUCCAGAGGAAAUGCAAGAUCAAGACCUUGCGUUAUCCUUGGACUUGACGAGAAGUGAUUUUGAACAGGCGCUCAUUGGUGCGUUGCAGGCUGUGUUCAUGCCUCCUGGCAUAGAGGGUGCCAUUCCCAUUAUGGGCAGGCUGUAUGGCGCAAUGUGCAGGCCUGUGGACUAGCGGCAGCAUACAGACACAAAGAAAAUGUGUGUGUGUUUGUGAGAAAGACUGUAACACUGGCGUUUGUGCUAGCCACUUUUGUGCGGAUGGCAUGGGGCCUACUGAAGGCUACUGCACCCCAGGUGCCAGGGGUGGGGGCUUUUGUAGUCUACUUCGAAAACAUGUGGAUGUAUGGGCAGUACCCUCCGUUAACAUUGAACCAACAGGGAAACCUUGGUGCAUGGACAAAUAAUGCAAUGGAAUCGUGGCAGCAUACAUACAUUGGUAUGAACUUCCUGCCCUUUCUACAUCAUAGAAACACGGACAGCAAUUAGGACAGAUAAAGAGGGUGCCUAAUGAGAAAUCUGAAAGCAGC